This 724-nucleotide ribosomal RNA is filed under the name Crenitis sp. MSC1819. RNAcentral describes it as "partial 16S ribosomal RNA". The stretch from base 1 to 557 matches the Rfam family "Bacterial large subunit ribosomal RNA", at positions 1910 to 2925 of the family's 2925-position model. The record is from RNAcentral. Lineage: Eukaryota; Metazoa; Arthropoda; Insecta; Coleoptera; Hydrophilidae.
CAAUGAAAUUAAAUAGCUGCAGUAUUUUGACUGUACAAAGGUAGCAUAAUCAUUAGUUUCUUAAUUAGAAGCUUGUAUGAAUGGCUUGAUGAGAAAAUAGCUGUCUUAAUUUAAAUUAAAUUGAAUUUUAUUUUUAAGUCAAAAAGCUUAAGUGAAAUUAAAAGACGAGAAGACCCUAUAGAGUUUAAUAUUUUAUUUAUUAUAGAAUUUAGGUAUUAAAUUUUUAUUAAUAAAGUAAAGUAUUUUGUUGGGGUGACAAUAAAAUUAGCUUAACUUUUUAUAAUAUAUUCAUUAAUAUAUGUUUACUUGAUCCAUUAGUUAUGAUUAUAAGAUUAAAUUACCUUAGGGAUAACAGCGUAAUUUUUUUGGAGAGUUCUUAUCGAUAAAAAAGAUUGCGACCUCGAUGUUGGAUUAAAAUUAAUGAUUGGUGUAGAAGCUAAUAAAUUAAGUCUGUUCGACUUUUAAAAUUUUACAUGAUCUGAGUUUAAACCGGUGUAAGCCAGGUUGGUUUCUAUCUUUAAUACUUUAAUAUAUUUUAGUACGAAAGGACCGGGUAUAUUUAAUAUUUAAUAGAAUAAUUGAAUAAAAUUGUUACUUUGGCAGAUUAGUGCAUUAAAUUUAGAAUUUAAUUAUGUAUAUUUACAGGUAAUACUUGAUUUUAUUGGAUUAUUUAUUAAGCUUUAUUAGUAGGUUAUUAUUAUUAAUUUGUGUAUUAGUGGGGGUU